GAGAAGAAAUCGUAGAGGGACCAAGCAGCUGCUGCUUCCCACCUACCUGAGGCAGGAUCAGCUCGGUUCAGUGUGCGGGACAUCUAGAGGACUUCAUCAUUCACUGUGAAUCUCAAUCUGGACUCUUAAGUGGGCUCUCCUCCACAGUGGUGGACACUUUUGCAUGAUUUUGCUUGGGUAACUUGCAAAACUUCUUCUACUCCAAAGGAAAGUGUGGGAGAAAAGAGGUAUUAGACUGAAUACCAAACUGAAGGUCUACAGAGCUGUU
Long non-coding RNA from Vombatus ursinus (common wombat), 268 nucleotides. RefSeq lists it as uncharacterized. The record is from RefSeq and is a predicted model, not a curated record. Lineage: Eukaryota; Metazoa; Chordata; Mammalia; Diprotodontia; Vombatidae. The transcript is spliced from 3 exons.